This 491-nucleotide ribosomal RNA is filed under the name uncultured bacterium. Its description in RNAcentral is "partial 16S ribosomal RNA". It matches the Rfam family "Bacterial small subunit ribosomal RNA", at positions 29 to 506 of the family's 1533-position model. The record is from RNAcentral.
AGUGAACGCUGGCGGUAGGCCUAACACAUGCAAGUCGAACGGCAGCACAGUAAGAGCUUGCUCUUACGGGUGGCGAGUGGCGGACGGGUGAGGAAUACAUCGGAAUCUACUUUUUCGUGGGGGAUAACGUAGGGAAACUUACGCUAAUACCGCAUACGACCUACGGGUGAAAGCAGGGGAUCUUCGGACCUUGCGCGAUUGAAUGAGCCGAUGUCGGAUUAGCUAGUUGGCGGGGUAAAGGCCCACCAAGGCGACGAUCCGUAGCGGGUCUGAGAGGAUGAUCAGCAACACUGGAACUGAGACACGGUCCAGACUCCUACGGGAGGCAGCAGUGGGGAAUAUUGGACAAUGGGCGCAAGCCUGAUCCAGCCAUACCGCGUGGGUGAAGAAGGCCUUCGGGUUGUAAAGCCAUUUUGUUGGGAAAGAAAAGCAGCAGGUUAAUACCCCGCUGUUCUGACGGUACCCAAAGAAUAAGCACCGGCUAACUUCGU